RNAcentral lists this ribosomal RNA (427 nucleotides) under uncultured bacterium. Its description in RNAcentral is "bacterial SSU rRNA". It matches the Rfam family "Bacterial small subunit ribosomal RNA", at positions 355 to 774 of the family's 1533-position model. The record is from RNAcentral.
UGGGGAAUUUUGGACAAUGGGCGCAAGCCUGAUCCAGCAAUGCCGCGUGCAGGAUGAAGGCCUUCGGGUUGUAAACUGCUUUUGUACGGAGCGAAAAGGUCUGCCCUAAUACGGUGGGCUCAUGACGGUACCGUAAGAAUAAGCACCGGCUAACUACGUGCCAGCAGCCGCGGUAAUACGUAGGGUGCAAGCGUUAAUCGGAAUUACUGGGCGUAAAGCGUGCGCAGGCGGUUAUGCAAGACAGAGGUGAAAUCCCCGGGCUCAACCUGGGAACUGCAUUUGUGACUGCAUAGCUGGAGUGCGGCAGAGGGGGAUGGAAUUCCGCGUGUAGCAGUGAAAUGCGUAGAUAUGCGGAGGAACACCGAUGGCGAAGGCAAUCCCCUGGGCCUGCACUGACGCUCAUGCACGAAAGCGGGGGGAGCAAACA